UGGUCCAAGCUACUACGGGCGCGCGGUGGAUGCCUAGGCACUGGAAGCCGAAGAAGGACGUGGCGAGACUGCGAUAAGCCUCGGUUAGCUGUCUAGCAAGCUCAGCCGGGGAUCUCCGAAUGGGGCAACCCGCCUCGAUGAAUAAUCGGGGCACCCGCCUUUGGCGGGAGGGAACCGGGGGAACUGAAACAUCUAAGUACCCCGAGGAAAAGAGACUAUUCCCUUAGUAGCGGCGAGCGAACGGGGAACAGCUCAAACCGUCAGGGAAGGUAUCGGCUCACGGGCCAAUGCCCUGGCGGGGUUGUAAGACACAGGUGGGCCAAGCCGUGAUGCGGCCGGGAAGUUACCAAGCCCUGCUCUAGCAGAAGGACCCUGGAAAGGGCCGCCGUGGAGAGUGAAAGCCUCGUAUGCGAAGGGGCAAGGGCCUUCCUGAUCUGUGUUCUUGAGUACCACGGGACACGGGGAAUCCCGUGGGAAGCCGGGGGGACCACCCUCCAAAGCUAAACACUUCCAGCGACCGAUAGUGCAGAAGUACCGUGAGGGAAAGGUGAAAAAGCACCCCGGGAGGGGAGUCAAANNCGAUUCGUCGGGGUGACGGCGUGCCUAUUGAAGAAUGAGCCGGCGAGUGAAUCUCAGUGGCGCGGUUAAGCAAGGAGACUUGCGGAGCCGCAGCGAAAGCGAGUCCGAACAGGGCGCCUCCUUCGGGAACGUCGCUGGGAUUCGGCCCGAAACCUGGUGAGCUACCCAUGGCCAGGGUGAAGCCUCGAUAAUAUCGAGGUGGAGGCCCGAACCAUUUGACGGUGCAAAGUCACUGGAUGAGCUGUGGGUAGGAGUGAAAUGCCAACCGAACCAGGAGAUAGCUGGUUCUCCCCGAAAUGCAUUGAGGUGCAGCCUCAGCACCAGUCUCUUGGAGGUAGGGCACUGGAUGGGCUAGGGGGCACAACGCUUACCAAACCCAACCAAACCACGAAUGCCAAGAGAUAGGCCUGGGAGUGAGCCCGUGGGGGAUAAACUUCACGGACAAAAGGGGAACAACCCAGACCACCGGCUAAGGUCCCUAAGUGUGGGCUAAGUGGGAAAGGAUGUAGGACAGCCCAGACAGCCAGGAGGUUGGCUCAGAAGCAGCCAUCCUUCAAAGAGUGCGUAACAGCUCACUGGUCGAUGCCGUCCUGCGCCGAAAAUGUAACGGGGCUCAAGCCCACCACCGAAGCCGUGGUUCCCGCCUAAGGCGGGAAGGUAGGGGAGCGUUCCGUUCAGCGGUGAAGCCUGGCCGUGAGGCCCGGUGGAGCGGACGGAAGUGAGAAUGCCGGCACGAGUAGCAACAGGCGAGUGAGAAUCUCGCCCACCGAAUGCCUAAGGUUUCCUACGGAAGGAUCGUCCGCGUAGGGUUAGGCGGGCCUAAGGCUAAGGCGCA
Molecule: ribosomal RNA, 1414 nt
Filed under: Deltaproteobacteria bacterium
Lineage: Bacteria; Pseudomonadati; Myxococcota; Myxococcia
Also listed under: 2 other names
Description: partial 23S ribosomal RNA
Rfam family: Bacterial large subunit ribosomal RNA
Source: RNAcentral